AUGUUGAAGAAUAAAGAAUGUGAAGAGAGAUGGGAGGGUUCAUAUGAGAGUGAAGAGAGUUUGUGUGUGUUUUACAUAGCAGGUAUUGGUGUUCAGAAAAAUUCAGUGUUAGGGAAAGAGUGGCAACUGUUCAUCCAAAAAAUGAUUUUGAAUUCAAAACAGUACCUUUUUAGUUACUAUUUAAUUGUACUUGAACUACAAAGAUAA
Vicia faba (fava bean) is the source of this 207-nucleotide non-coding RNA. Lineage: Eukaryota; Viridiplantae; Streptophyta; Magnoliopsida; Fabales; Fabaceae. The record is from the annotation of a GenBank genome assembly.